Molecule: ribosomal RNA, 520 nt
Filed under: uncultured Diversispora
Lineage: Eukaryota; Fungi; Glomeromycota; Glomeromycetes; Diversisporales; Diversisporaceae
Description: SSU rRNA
Rfam family: Eukaryotic small subunit ribosomal RNA
Source: RNAcentral
AGCAGCCGCGGUAAUUCCAGCUCCAAUAGCGUAUAUUAAAGUUGUUGCAGUUAAAAAGCUCGUAGUUGAACUUCGGGAUUUGCCCAUUGGUCAGGCUUAACUGUCUGCACUGGUGUGACGAGUUCCUACCUUCUGAGGAAUCUCCAUGUCAUUCAGUUGGUGUGGGGGGAAAUCAGGACUGUUACUUUGAAAAAAUUAGAGUGUUUAAAGCAGGCAUCCGUCUGAAUACAUUAGCAUGGAAUAAUAAAAUAGGACGGUUUGGUUCUAUUUUGUUGGUUUCUAGGAUCACCGUAAUGAUUAAUAGGGAUAGUUGGGGGCAUUAGUAUUCAAUUGUCAGAGGUGAAAUUCUUGGAUUUAUUGAAGACUAACUACUGCGAAAGCAUUUGCCAAGGAUGUUUUCAUUAAUCAAGAACGAAAGUUAGGGGAUCGAAGACGAUCAGAUACUGUCGUAGUCUUAACCAUAAACUAUGCCGACUAGGGAUCGGACGAAGUUAAUUUUUAAUGACUCGUUCGGCACCUU